This 606-nucleotide ribosomal RNA is filed under the name Rahnella sp. RNAcentral's name for it is "bacterial SSU rRNA". The record is from RNAcentral. Lineage: Bacteria; Pseudomonadati; Pseudomonadota; Gammaproteobacteria; Enterobacterales; Yersiniaceae.
GCUUCCGGAGCUAACGCGUUAAGUCGACCGCUGGGGAGUACGGCCGCAAGGUUAAACUCAAAUGAAUUGCCGGGGGCCCGCACAAGCGGUGGAGCAUGUGGUUUAAUUCGAUGCAACGCGAUCAACCUUACCUACUCUUGACAUCCACGGAAUUCGCUAGAGAUAGCUUAGUGCCUUCGGGAACCGUGAGACAGGUGCUGCAUGGCUGUCGUCAGCUCGUGUUGUGAAAUGUUGGGUUAAGUCCCGCAACGAGCGCAACCCUUAUCCUUUGUUGCCAGCACGUAAUGGUGGGAACUCAAAGGAGACUGCCGGUGAUAAACCGGAGGAAGGUGGGGAUGACGUCAAGUCAUCAUGGCCCUUACGAGUAGGGCUACACACGUGCUACAAUGGCAUAUACAAAGAGAAGCAAACUCGCGAGAGCAAGCGGACCUCAUAAAGUAUGUCGUAGUCCGGAUUGGAGUCUGCAACUCGACUCCAUGAAGUCGGAAUCGCUAGUAAUCGUAGAUCAGAAUGUACGGUGAAUACGUUCCCGGGCCUUGUACACACCGCCCGUCACACCAUGGGAGUGGGUUGCAAAAGAAGUAGGUAGCUUAACYUCGGGAGGGC